Gloeopeniophorella convolvens is the source of this 88-nucleotide non-coding RNA. The record is from the annotation of a GenBank genome assembly. NCBI's taxonomy places the organism in Eukaryota, Fungi, Basidiomycota, Agaricomycetes, Russulales.
UUCGAUGUGGUGCAACGGUUAGCAUACCUCGCUUUCAAGACAGUAGUCAUGGUCCGAGGAGGCCGGGGUUCGACUCCCCGCAUCGAAG